GAAUCUGAUAAAUCGAAAGGAAGAGGACAGGUUGAGGAUAUCAAAGAUGAUCCCAUGGAGUUCCUUGGGCGGAUUCUCCGAGUUUAUGGCUUCAAUUAAUUGCUUGCAAUCUGAAGCGACUGAGAUUUGGGGAAGACCCAGGGAGAGAGCAUCUUGGAGAGCGUGGAGGAUUGCCAUAGCCUCACCAAGGAGUGGGGAUCGGAUGAAGUUGCUAAUUGUCGAUCCCGUGCAGUGUUGUCCGAUAUGGUCAUUCCGGAACAGCCAUCCGCAACCAGCUUGUUUGGUCUCCUUGUUCCAAGCUGCAUCCACCUGGCACAACACGACGUCAUUAGCCAUCAGAUGUAGAGCUUCCCUGAUCAUCCUCGGUGUAGGGAUUUCUGGUAACUCUUGAGCUGCACACCACUCUCUUCCCAUCUUAAGGGCAUAGGUCAGGGUUUCCUUUGGGGAAUAUGAAACGUUUCUGAAGAUUUUGUGAUUCCGGGAUAUCCAGAGCGACCAUACUAUCCACGGAUACAAAGGUCCUAUGUUUAUCCCACAAGGGGGUAAACAGAUCUAGCCUUUUGCGGUUUCAAGUAGGGCUCUCAUAGAUUGCAGAGAGCUAGGCUCAAUGGUGUGGUGGAACAGUGCCAUACUCCAAACCUGUUGGGCAUAACGGCACUUGAUGAACAGGUGUUCACUGGUUUCCAUCUCUCCACAGAAAGGGCAUAGGGUUUCCAUCAUUAUGUUGUGUUUCCGUAAGUUCUCACUUGUAGGUGGGAGUGGCGGUAGUGUUUUGGUUUCUUCCUUGAUGCCUUCAUAGUACCCUGACUUGGUCGUAUAGACACCUUUUUUUGUUGGUAGCCAAACAAAGUCUUUUGUAGUUUGUGAGAUCAGGGUUGCCACUAUGUCAAACUGAGUCUCCUUUGUUGGUGGACCCAUGGGGGUUAGGGCGGUUUCCAGUGAUAACCACGGUUCAUUCCACAAGGAUGUUUGUUGUCUAUUACCAAUUACCCUUGAUAGUUGCUUCUCGAGUAGUGCUUUCCCUAUACAGAUGCCACGCCAACCAUGCGACGUGUUAGCUGGUGGUACACUGCGUAAGAAGGGGGUGGUAUGGCAGUAUCUGCCUUGGAGGAUCCUAGCCAUCAGACAUUUUGGUGCGGUUUUGCCAUGAUACCCAACACAUCUUUUGUUUUUCAGGGGAAGAGUCCCACCAGAAUCUUGUUAAAACCGACUGGAUAAGCUAAAAUAGAGAACCAGGAAUUUCGAAGACCAACUUCGUGCUUUUUGCCUGAUUCUAUCCACUAUGCUAGUAAAUAGAUCCUUCUUCUUUUUGCCAAAUAAUUCAGGGAGCCCCAAAGAAAGUGAUAACCGAUUUCUGUUUGUUAAUCAUCUGUUCUGAGGCCUCUUCGUACUUUCUGAGAAUUUCGAGUAGCUUGUCACAGUCUGUCUUAUUCGCCUUGCAGAAGAACAUGGUGUCAUCUGCAAAGAGGAGGUGGUUUAAACGCGGACUCUGCUUGCCCAGCUUGGUUCCUGACAUAGUCUCCUCGAUUUGAGCUCUUUUACACAGUCCAGACAGUACCUCGCUACAUAAAAUGAAGACGAAUGGUGAAAGUGGGUCUCCUUGCCUUAUACCACGUUGAGGCAGGACUGUGCCUUGGGCUGUUCCGUUUAUCAGGUAGUGUAGAGCCUCAUGUGUAAUCAAAACGUUGUUAGCGAUGGCUCUUUGGGGAACAAAAGCAGAUUGGUUUUCAGAGACCAGAGUAUUGAGAAACUUGCAGAAAAACCGUCAGGUCCCGGAGCUUUAUCAAUUUGGAUUGAGAAGCAGGCAUUACGAAUCUCCUUUUCUGUUGGAGCAGCUAUCAGGUUCGCAUUCAUCUCCUCAGUGACGCACGAUUGUAUAGCUUCCUCAAUGGUUCGUCGUCUCUCUCCUGGUAUGGUAGGGAAGAUGUUUUGGUAAUAG
Molecule: non-coding RNA, 1939 nt
Organism: Camelina sativa (false flax)
Lineage: Eukaryota; Viridiplantae; Streptophyta; Magnoliopsida; Brassicales; Brassicaceae
Source: RefSeq, a predicted model, not a curated record